AUGAAUAUCUUAAGCUGGAACUGCCGGGGAGUGGGGAAUACCCGGACAGUUCGUGAACUAGUGACUAUCUCUCAUUCGCAUUCCCCCACUAUGAUUUUCUUAUGUGAGACAAGGCAAAAGGAAGAAAAGUUGAGAAGAUUACGGGGCCGAUUGGGUUUGAAAGGAUUUUCUGGUGUGGAUAGCAAUGGUUUCAGUGGUGGGUUGGCACUUUGUUUGGCAUGA
Molecule: ribosomal RNA, 222 nt
Filed under: Triticum aestivum (bread wheat)
Lineage: Eukaryota; Viridiplantae; Streptophyta; Magnoliopsida; Poales; Poaceae
Description: partial small subunit ribosomal RNA
Source: RNAcentral